GAACAUGGCCAUAUCAUCCUGCAGCCCAAGACCGGUUACUCACUGAAACUAAGCAGGGCUGAGCCUGGUCACUACCUGAAUGGGAGACCACAUGGGAAAACUAGUGGUGUUGGUGA
Danio rerio (zebrafish) is the source of this 116-nucleotide ribosomal RNA. The record is from Ensembl. NCBI's taxonomy places the organism in Eukaryota, Metazoa, Chordata, Actinopteri, Cypriniformes, Danionidae.